This 465-nucleotide ribosomal RNA is filed under the name uncultured Klebsiella sp. RNAcentral's name for it is "bacterial SSU rRNA". It matches the Rfam family "Bacterial small subunit ribosomal RNA", at positions 338 to 795 of the family's 1533-position model. Lineage: Bacteria; Pseudomonadati; Pseudomonadota; Gammaproteobacteria; Enterobacterales; Enterobacteriaceae. The record is from RNAcentral.
CCUACGGGAGGCUGCAGUGGGGAAUAUUGCACAAUGGGCGCAAGCCUGAUGCAGCCAUGCCGCGUGUGUGAAGAAGGCCUUCGGGUUGUAAAGCACUUUCAGCGGGGAGGAAGGCGUUAAGGUUAAUAACCUUGGCGAUUGACGUUACCCGCAGAAGAAGCACCGGCUAACUCCGUGCCAGCAGCCGCGGUAAUACGGAGGGUGCAAGCGUUAAUCGGAAUUACUGGGCGUAAAGCGCACGCAGGCGGUCUGUCAAGUCGGAUGUGAAAUCCCCGGGCUCAACCUGGGAUCUGCAUUCGAAACUGGCAGGCUAGAGUCUUGUAGAGGGGGGUAGAAUUCCAGGUGUAGCGGUGAAAUGCGUAGAGAUCUGGAGGAAUACCGGUGGCGAAGGCGGCCCCCUGGACAAAGACUGACGCUCAGGUGCGAAAGCGUGGGGAGCAAACAGGAUUAGAUACCCGUGUAGUC